CAUAUCCUGCAAAGAAAAUAAAAUGUUAGAACCCCUUUUUUAAGAGAAUUCAUACCAAUGAUUCUCAUAUUGACACCUAAAAUCAAGAGCUUCAACAAACCCAAAGUAAUAUGAAGAAGAUCACUACUUCAACCGUUAUUGGAAGAAAAAGGAAACAACAUUUUGACAACAUAGUAAUGGAAUAGAAGAAGGUCGAAGAUUAUAAACUUCCUACCGCUAAACGAGCAGAGAUAAUUGGAUUGAAAGUUCAAGAAACGAACAGAGAAGGAAGCUGUUGAACGAAGAACAUGGGUCAGAACAAAUGGGAGAGAUCAAUACGCAGAGAUGGAUUUGUGGAUAUUUAUACAUGGGCUUGAAGGAUUUGGGCUCUCCAUAUAUUUUUGUUGGGCUGUAUAAUUUCUUGGGCUUCAUGUUCUACUAACUUCUUGCACGCAAAUUAUGCUGUGCAACCGAAUGCACCUUGCAAGGUGCA
Molecule: long non-coding RNA, 472 nt
Organism: Ipomoea nil (Japanese morning glory)
Lineage: Eukaryota; Viridiplantae; Streptophyta; Magnoliopsida; Solanales; Convolvulaceae
Exons: 3
Source: RefSeq, a predicted model, not a curated record